UGUCAGUUAUCCAGGAUUAACCAUAAAAUGGUUCGUUAUUAAUGUACAAAGGUUUUUCAGAAUCCUCCAUCGAAAGCAAUCCUUCCCUGUGUCUAGUAAAAUAUCUAUCAUUGCCUUUUCUAGUUUCAGGCUUCAUUUGUCCGCGGUAGGGGAUGGCUCCUUUGUUUGUUAUUUUACAAGUUAGCCAUUUUGCCGCCACAUGGCUACACCCCGCAAAUUAUUUUUUCAGAGGGAGUGUGUGGGGCCGCGCCUCCCUUACCAACUUAUUUGGUGGGCCAGGCCAGUACGGACCAGUUCCUGGGCCAGCAGUCGGAACUGGAUUGGCUAGACAGCCGGACGUAUUUCGGGAGCUACUCGGUUCCAGCGGUUCAAGCACCUGGGAGAGCUCACAAGUCAAGAGGAAAAUGGAUGACGAUUCCGAUAUCUUUGAUGAAAUGUGGCUGGAAAGUGUGGUCAUUGCGGGCUUCCGAGUGUGGCACAUUAUCGCUGCCGUUCUGGGCGUCCUCCUCCUAAUAAUGAUUAUGGUAUGCUGCUGCAUUCGAUUCCGUAUUCCGCGCACCAAGCAGGAAAUCGAGGCUGACUACCAACGCAAGCAGAUCACAAAGAAGUUCCGCGAGAAGCUGCAGCAGAUCAAGAACUCCGAAAUGGACGACAUGGACCUGCAGAAGGCACUUGCUUAUAUCAAAUUGGAACAGUACGAUGAUCCCUAGGGGCUCUGUAAAUUCACCCGCACCCUGUACAAACUAUCGGAAGUACUUAAGCAGAAAACUCUCUAUCGCAAAGAACACUGCCGCUUUUGUGCCCGCAUCCAGAGCGACUAUCUGAGUUUCCAGGCCAGCAUGGAGAGCAUGAACGCGAAGCAGAAUGUUAAGUUUAAGAUCUAAGUGCCUUUUAUAGGAUUGUGCAGCGAAGAUGGUGCAUACUUAAGCGAAAUAUUAGUAACCUUAUAUCUAAUCUAAUGCAAUUAAAAGCUAAUAAGCUAGAAAAUAAAGUGUAUUCGUGCGCUUAUAUCUAGAGA
Molecule: RNA transcript, 1018 nt
Organism: Drosophila yakuba
Lineage: Eukaryota; Metazoa; Arthropoda; Insecta; Diptera; Drosophilidae
Exons: 4
Source: RefSeq, a predicted model, not a curated record